Molecule: non-coding RNA, 76 nt
Organism: Cymbomonas tetramitiformis
Lineage: Eukaryota; Viridiplantae; Chlorophyta; Pyramimonadophyceae; Pyramimonadales; Pyramimonadaceae
Source: the annotation of a GenBank genome assembly
CUUCGCGUAGCUCAGUGGAUAGAGCGACCGUGAUCUAAACGGGAGGUCACGAUGGGUUCGAGUCCCGUCGCGCGGA